GGAAUUUGAUGUCCUAGGGCAGGAGAAGAAAAGGGGUACUGCUCUGGAAAAGAGAGAGAAAGAGAGAAAAAAAAGGAAGCAAGAAAAAGAAAAAAAGAAAAGCAAGCAAGCUGAAUGUCUUCCUUCUUCCACCUCCUUUGUUGGCAAGCUGAGGGAGCCGGCUCCAGCCUUGACCAGCCCAGAAAAGGGCUCCCACAGUGCAGCGGCGGGCUGAAGGGCUCCUCAGGCGCCGCCAGAAUGGGCGCCGAGGCUGAGGCACCGAGAGCGAGCGUGGGCUGCGAGGGCUGCCAGUAUGCUGUCACCUCUCAGUAUGAUAGAAAAAAGCUGCUGUACUGCCACUGCCCAAUAUAUAAUAUUUCAGGAAACAUUGCUUUAUGAAGGGCUCCAUAACAGUUAAUGAAGGUUUACACCAACUGAAAAACAUGAAGAAGAAAAGGAAGGAAGAAAGAGAUGGUAGAAAGAAAGGAAAGAUGAAUGGAAAAGAAAAACUACUACUUGUGGAAUGCUCAGUGUAUGCUAGAUGUCUUCAUUGGUAGCAUUGCAUUUAUGGGACAACAGGCAAGGGCAGGAGAGAACUUUGGAGGAGGCUGGUUUGAUGACACCACAGCUGGAGGCAACUGCUUAAGAAAAGGCCUGAGCUGCCUCCCAGAGUAUAUCACAUCUCUGAGGACUCCCAACCUGAAAACAAGAAAGCAAGCACAAAUUCCUGGGGAUCCAUCCUCAGAGCAAUGUUAAACUGAAGAGAUUAUUGUGAGCAUCCUGUGUCUUGGGGGAACUCUUUCAAUAUUUCACCAUUAAAUAAAAUAUUUACUGAAAAGCUUUAAU
Molecule: long non-coding RNA, 825 nt
Filed under: Homo sapiens (human)
Lineage: Eukaryota; Metazoa; Chordata; Mammalia; Primates; Hominidae
Description: long non-coding RNA NONHSAT182913.1
Source: RNAcentral